CAAGCGACUGUUUACCAAAAACAUAGGUUUCUGCUAAGUCGCAAGACGAUGUAUAGGAGCUGACGCCUGCCCGGUGCUGGAAGGUUAAGGGGAUCUGUUAGAGCAAUCGAAGCAGUGAACUUAAGCCCCAGUAAACGGCGGCCGUAACUAUAACGGUCCUAAGGUAGCGAAAUUCCUUGUCGGGUAAGUUCCGACCCGCACGAAAGGCGUAACGAUUUGGGCACUGUCUCAACAACAGACUCGGUGAAAUUGUAAUUCCGGUGAAGAUGCCGGAUACCUGCGACAGGACGGAAAGACCCCAUGGAGCUUUACUGUAGCUUGACAUUGGGUCUUGGUACUACAUGUACAGGAUAGGUGGGAGGCUUUGAAACCAGGACGCCAGUUUUGGCGGAGCCAUCCUUGGGAUACCACCCUUGUAGUACUGGGACUCUAACCAUAGGCCAUGAAUCUGGUCUUGGGACACUGUCAGGUGGGCAGUUUGACUGGGGCGGUCGCCUCCCAAAAGGUAACGGAGGCGCUCAAAGGUUCUCUCAGUACGGUCGGAAAUCGUACGUAGAGUGUAAAGGCAAAAGAGAGCUUGAUUGCAAGACAUACAGGUCGAGCAAGGAUGAAAAUCGGACUUAGUGAUCCGGUGGUUCUGCGUGGAAGGGCCAUCGCUCAACGGAUAAAAGCUACCCUGGGGAUAACAGGCUUAUCUCCCCCAAGAGUCCACAUCGACGGGGAGGUUUGGCACCUCGAUGUCGGCUCAUCACAUCCUGGGGCUGUAGUAGGUCCCAAGGGUUGGGCUGUUCGCCCAUUAAAGUGGUACGCGAGCUGGGUUCAGAACGUCGUGAGACAGUUCGGUCCC
RNAcentral lists this ribosomal RNA (847 nucleotides) under Clostridioides difficile. RNAcentral's name for it is "partial 23S ribosomal RNA". It matches the Rfam family "Bacterial large subunit ribosomal RNA", at positions 1793 to 2638 of the family's 2925-position model. The record is from RNAcentral. Lineage: Bacteria; Bacillati; Bacillota; Clostridia; Peptostreptococcales; Peptostreptococcaceae.